CCGAGUUUACAACUCAUCAACCCCUGUGAACAUACCUAUACGUUGCUUCGGCGGGAUCAGACCGGGCCCUGGGACACGGGCCGCCCCGCCAGGAGGACCCCUAACUCUGUAUUUAUAUGUAUUUUCUGAGUAAACAAGCAAAUAAAUUA
RNAcentral lists this unclassified non-coding RNA (149 nucleotides) under soil metagenome. RNAcentral describes it as "partial internal transcribed spacer 1". The record is from RNAcentral.